RNAcentral lists this ribosomal RNA (585 nucleotides) under uncultured Pseudomonas sp. RNAcentral's name for it is "bacterial SSU rRNA". It matches the Rfam family "Bacterial small subunit ribosomal RNA", at positions 102 to 683 of the family's 1533-position model. Lineage: Bacteria; Pseudomonadati; Pseudomonadota; Gammaproteobacteria; Pseudomonadales; Pseudomonadaceae. The record is from RNAcentral.
ACGGGUGAGUAAUGCCUAGGAAUCUGCCUGGUAGUGGGGGACAACGUUUCGAAAGGAACGCUAAUACCGCAUACGUCCUACGGGAGAAAGCAGGGGACCUUCGGGCCUUGCGCUAUCAGAUGAGCCUAGGUCGGAUUAGCUAGUUGGUGAGGUAAUGGCUCACCAAGGCGACGAUCCGUAACUGGUCUGAGAGGAUGAUCAGUCACACUGGAACUGAGACACGGUCCAGACUCCUACGGGAGGCAGCAGUGGGGAAUAUUGGACAAUGGGCGAAAGCCUGAUCCAGCCAUGCCGCGUGUGUGAAGAAGGUCUUCGGAUUGUAAAGCACUUUAAGUUGGGAGGAAGGGCAGUCAGCGAAUACCUUGCUGUCUUGACGUUACCGACAGAAUAAGCACCGGCUAACUCUGUGCCAGCGGCCGCGGUAAUACAGAGGGUGCAAGCGUUAAUCGGAAUUACUGGGCGUAAAGCGCGCGUAGGUGGUUUGUUAAGUUGAAUGUGAAAUCCCCGGGCUCAACCUGGGAACUGCAUCCAAAACUGGCAAGCUAGAGUAGGGCAGAGGGUGGUGGAAUUUCCUGUGUAGCGGUG